Molecule: non-coding RNA, 23 nt
Filed under: Gossypium hirsutum (cotton)
Lineage: Eukaryota; Viridiplantae; Streptophyta; Magnoliopsida; Malvales; Malvaceae
Source: RNAcentral
CUUUAWGAGUGUCAUGAUAUGAA